Molecule: ribosomal RNA, 381 nt
Filed under: uncultured bacterium
Lineage: Bacteria
Description: bacterial SSU rRNA
Rfam family: Bacterial small subunit ribosomal RNA
Source: RNAcentral
GUAACACGUAGGCAACCUGCCCAUCAGACUGGGAUAACCACGGGAAACCGUGGCUAAUACCGGAUAAUCCUUUUCCACACAGGUGGAAAAGUUGAAAGGCGGCUUCGGCUGUCACUGAUGGAUGGGCCUGCGGCGCAUUAGCUGGUUGGUGGGGUAACGGCCCACCAAGGCGACGAUGCGUAGCCGACCUGAGAGGGUGAUCGGCCACACUGGGACUGAGACACGGCCCAGACUCCUACGGGAGGCAGCAGUAGGGAAUCUUCCGCAAUGGACGAAAGUCUGACGGAGCAACGCCGCGUGAGUGAAGAAGGGUUUCGGCUCGUAAAACUCUGUUGUCAGGGAAGAACGCCGACGGGAGUAACUGCCCGUCGGGUGACGGUA